Molecule: ribosomal RNA, 287 nt
Filed under: uncultured bacterium
Lineage: Bacteria
Description: partial 16S ribosomal RNA
Rfam family: Bacterial small subunit ribosomal RNA
Source: RNAcentral
GCCUACGGGGGGCAGCAGUGAGGAAUAUUGGUCAAUGGGCGGGAGCCUGAACCAGCCAAGCCGCGUGAAGGAAGAAGGCGCCAGGCGUCGUAAACUUCUUUUGUCGGGGAACAAAGGGCGCCACGCGUGGCGUUGUGAGUGUACCCGAAGAAAAAGCAUCGGCUAACUCCGUGCCAGCAGCCGCGGUAAUACGGAGGAUGCGAGCGUUAUCCGGAUUUAUUGGGUGUAAAGGGAGCGUAGGCGGCUGGCCAAGUCUGCAGUGAAAGCCCGGGGCUUAACCCCGGAAC